Molecule: ribosomal RNA, 397 nt
Filed under: uncultured bacterium
Lineage: Bacteria
Description: partial 16S ribosomal RNA
Rfam family: Bacterial small subunit ribosomal RNA
Source: RNAcentral
AUACGUAGGGGGCGAGCGUUGUCCGGAAUGAUUGGGCGUAAAGGGCGCGUAGGCGGCCCGGUAAGUCUGGAGUGAAAGUCCUGUUUUUAGGAUGGGAAUUGCUUUGGAUACUGUCGGGCUUGAGUGCAGGAGAGGUAAGUGGAAUUCCCAGUGUAGCGGUGAAAUGCGUAGAGAUUGGGAGGAACACCAGUGGCGAAGGCGACUUACUGGACUGUACCUGACGCUGAGGCGCGAAAGUGUGGGGAGCAAACAGGAUUAGAUACCCUGGUAGUCCACACUGUAAAGGAUGAAUGCUAGGUGUAGGGGGUAUCGACCCCUUCUGCGCCGCAGUCAACCCAAUAAGCAUUCCGCCUGGGGAGUACGGCCGCAAGGUUGAAACUCAAAUGAAUUGACGGGG